UAACGCGUGGGGAACCGUGCCCUAUACAGGGGGAUAACAGCUGGAAACGGUUGCUAAUACCGCAUAAGCGCACAGAAUCGCAUGAUUCAGUGUGAAAAGCCCUGGCAGUAUAGGAUGGUCCCGCGUCUGAUUAGCUGGUUGGUGAGGUAACGGCUCACCAAGGCGACGAUCAGUAGCCGGCUUGAGAGAGUGAACGGCCACAUUGGGACUGAGACACGGCCCAA
This 224-nucleotide ribosomal RNA is filed under the name uncultured bacterium. RNAcentral describes it as "partial 16S ribosomal RNA". It matches the Rfam family "Bacterial small subunit ribosomal RNA", at positions 111 to 334 of the family's 1533-position model. The record is from RNAcentral.